GGAAGGACUGCCUGGAGGUUAGAGCCCUUGUACGUGUGUGUCUGCUGGGUCUCAGUGUAGACUGGGAGCCUGGCCCUCAGCAUGUGAUGCCCGGCUGGUGGGAAGGUUCUAAAUGGCCUCUGUGAACCCACAAACAACAUCUGUCCAUCAGCACUCCUGACUCAACAUUUCCUUUCUUCUAGGCUGACCAAAAAUGAACUUAAUGAUGAGGCCGCAGAGUGCUUCGCCGAGAUGCUGAGGGUGAACCAGACACUGAAGCAUUUAUGGCUAAUCCAGAAUCAUAUCACAGCUGAGGGGACAGCCCAGCUGGCCAGGGCACUGCAGAAGAAUACCACCAUCACAGAGAUUUGCCUCAAUGGAAACUUAAUUAAGCCCGAGGAGGCCAAAGUCUUUGAAAAUGAGAAGCGGAUCAUCUGUUUCUGAUGGGCAUUCCUGGGCUAGAUCUUUGUCCUGGGUUGUUCCUCAGUUGCAGCCAGCACUGUGCAGCCAGCAGGGAAGCGGGAUGCUGUGCAGGGCCUGCAGCAAGGUGCCUGCCAGGAGCUCACACCUCCACAGUGCAAGCUGACCUCACCUGCAGAUGCUUGGACUGGUAGCACCGGAGCAUGGCUGAGACUGCAGAAACAGAGUGUUUCAUGAGCCAUUGUCACCACUCAAAACAGCAAGGCAUUUUCUGUACUAAGAUCUCCCCUCAUACUGAUUAGUCUGAAGCUGAAGGAACGAAACAGCAGAGGAGGCCAAACUCAGUUCCCACAGAUGCCUGGGGACUCCAUGGGACCGAUGAUGUCACCUUCGGGAAAGAGCUGGGAACUUGAGCAGAGCCAAUGGCAACUUCUUGGGGGAAAGAAGGCACCCGGUGACCACGUGACUAUCCUGAAACCUCCUUCCUCUGCUUAGUACCUCUCACUGUACAGAUCUGUUUCCUCCCCACAGCUGUGGCUGCUGAAGUAGGUCCACCAUGGGGAGGCUCAUCUGAGGACCCACAGGUUGUCAAAGGCUCGUCACAGACUCUGGUUUGGUUGGUUCUGGAUUCUCACUGGCGGCAAACAAGAGUCAGAGAACAUCCUCGAAGUCAGUCUCGGAGGAUCUCCAUGCUGUGAGAGGACUGAGGUCCCACCCAGAAUUUUUACCAAUCUCUGCUGGGUGAAAUCUCUCAGGGAGAAUCAGUUCCCACCCUUCACAGCAGCAGGCACGGCUUGCCUCGAUGGACCUGAGAUCCCAGCAUAACUCUUUCCCCUGCCUGUGAGCAGGAAGUACCUUCACAUCCACAGCAGCGGGAGGGUGACUGACCACAGCUAAGACCUAGAGAACCAGCAAAGCAUGCCAGACAUCCACCUCCGUCCCAUGGUGGGCAUUUGGGGAUGCCGGUGGGGUGGGACGGUUGGGAUGUUGCCAGAUAACAUGUUCUUUUGCCACUUCAUUUGUUAAUAAAAUAUUAAAAAUGCUCACUGUUUCUAA
This 1455-nucleotide long non-coding RNA is filed under the name Rattus norvegicus (Norway rat). RNAcentral describes it as "long non-coding RNA NONRATT021439". The record is from RNAcentral. Lineage: Eukaryota; Metazoa; Chordata; Mammalia; Rodentia; Muridae.